GGGCGCGUAACUCAGUGGUUAGAGUGCCAUCUUCACACGGUGGAAGUCGCGAGUUCAACUCUCGCCGCGCCCA
Molecule: transfer RNA, 73 nt
Filed under: Polyangiaceae bacterium
Lineage: Bacteria; Pseudomonadati; Myxococcota; Polyangiales; Polyangiaceae
Description: tRNA-Val
Rfam family: tRNA
About the family: Transfer RNA (tRNA) molecules are approximately 80 nucleotides in length. Their secondary structure includes four short double-helical elements and three loops (D, anti-codon, and T loops). Further hydrogen bonds mediate the characteristic L-shaped molecular structure. tRNAs have two regions of fundamental functional importance: the anti-codon, which is responsible for specific mRNA codon recognition, and the 3' end, to which the tRNAs corresponding amino acid is attached (by aminoacyl-tRNA synthetases). tRNAs cope with the degeneracy of the genetic code in two manners: having more than one tRNA (with a specific anti-codon) for a particular amino acid; and 'wobble' base-pairing, i.e. permitting non-standard base-pairing at the 3rd anti-codon position.
Source: RNAcentral